UGAGCAUGCCUGUCGGGACCC
RNAcentral lists this non-coding RNA (21 nucleotides) under Arabidopsis thaliana (thale cress). Lineage: Eukaryota; Viridiplantae; Streptophyta; Magnoliopsida; Brassicales; Brassicaceae. The record is from RNAcentral.